GACGAACGCUGGCGGCGUGCUUAACACAUGCAAGUCGAACGGGCGCAGCAAUGCGUCAGUGGCGGACUGGUGGGUAACGCGUGAGCAAUCUGCCUCUGUUUACGGGAUAACGCGCUGAAAGGCGCGCUAAUACGGUAUAAGACCACGAAUCGGCAUCGGUGCGGGGUAAAAGGGUUACCGAACAGAGAUGAGCUCGCGUCCCAUUAGCUUGUUGGCGGGGUAAAGGCCCACCAAGGCGACGAUGGGUAGCCGACCUGAGAGGGUGAUCGGCCACACCGGAACUGAGACACGGUCCGGACUCCUACGGGAGGCAGCAGUGGGGAAUAUUGGGCAAUGGAGGGAACUCUGACCCAGCAACGCCGCGUGAAGGAUGGAGGUCUUCGGAUUGUAAACUUCUGAAACAGAGGAAGAAGAAUGACGGUACUCUGUGAGAAAGCCCCGGCAAACUAUGUGCCAGCAGCCGCGGUAAUACAUAGGGGGCAAGCGUUGUCCGGAAUUACUGGGCGUAAAGGGAGCGUAGGCGGUUAUAUAAGUUAUAUGUGAAAACCCGGGGCUCAACCCCGUGCCUGCAUAUAAGACUGUGUAACUGGAGUGUGGGAGAGGUAAGCGGAAUUCCUAGUGUAGCGGUGGAAUGCGUAGAUAUUAGGAGGAACACCUGAGGCGAAGGCGGCUUACUGGACCAUAACUGACGCUGAGGCUCGAAAGCGUGGGGAGCAAACAGGAUUAGAUACCCUGGUAGUCCACGCCCUAAACGAUGGAUACUAAAUGUGGGAGGUAUAAACUCCUUCCGUAUUGAAGCAAACGCGAUAAGUAUCCCGCCUGGGGAGUACGGCCGCAAGGUUGAAACUCAAAGAAAUUGACGGGGACCCGCACAAGCAGCGGAGCAUGUGGUUUAAUUCGAAGCAACGCGAAGAACCUUACCAAGGCUUGACAUAUACCUGAAUACUGUAGAGAUACAGUAGUCUACGGACAGGUAAACAGGUGGUGCAUGGUUGUCGUCAGCUCGUGUCGUGAGAUGUUCGGUUAAGUCCGGCAACGAGCGCAACCCCUAUAUUCAGUUGCCAAUAUUAAGUUAGGAACUCUGGAUAGACUGCCGCGGACAACGCGGAGGAAGGCGGGGAUGACGUCAAAUCAUCAUGCCCUAUAUGCCUUGGGCUACACACGUGCUACAAUGGGCGCAACAAAGAGCAGCGAAUGCGUAAGUAUAAGCGAAUCUCAAAAAAGCGUUCUCAGUUCAGAUUGAGGGCUGCAACCCGCCCUCAUGAAGUCGGAGUUGCUAGUAAUCGCGAAUCAGAAUGUCGCGGUGAAUGCGUUCCCGGG
RNAcentral lists this ribosomal RNA (1320 nucleotides) under uncultured Eubacteriales bacterium. RNAcentral describes it as "uncultured Clostridiales bacterium 16S ribosomal RNA". It matches the Rfam family "Bacterial small subunit ribosomal RNA", at positions 28 to 1378 of the family's 1533-position model. The record is from RNAcentral. Lineage: Bacteria; Bacillati; Bacillota; Clostridia; Eubacteriales.